RNAcentral lists this ribosomal RNA (253 nucleotides) under uncultured bacterium. RNAcentral describes it as "partial 16S ribosomal RNA". It matches the Rfam family "Bacterial small subunit ribosomal RNA", at positions 524 to 776 of the family's 1533-position model. The record is from RNAcentral.
UACGUAGGUGACCAGCGUUGUCCGGAUUUACUGGGCGUAAAGAGCGCGCAGGCGGUCGUUCAAGUCGAGUGUGAAAGCCCCCGGCUCAACUGGGGAGGGUCACUCGAUACUGAUCGACUUGAAGGCAGGAGAGGGAAGCGGAAUUCCCGGUGUAGUGGUGAAAUGCGUAGAUAUCGGGAGGAACACCAGUGGCGAAGGCGGCGAUCUGGGGCGAUACUGACGCUGAGGUGCGAAAGCGUGGGGAGCAAACAGG